CAAUUUCCUUCUUCUUUGUUGUCACGCCUCGAGACCCGCCAUUUUGGUCGGAUUCGACAUGCCAACAGACCACUGAACGGACAGAGUUUUUCCUGUCCGCGUCAUAAUCAGUACAAUUCAAGUGGUUUCCAAUAGGAACAUAAUUCAUACACCGAUAGCAUAAGGAAGGCAUCAAACAUAAUUACUAAGCUAUUACAAGCAUUCGUCACAUUUCACAUUACAUUUACAUUUACAUUUACAUUCUUCCGAAUAUAAUCAACUUUAUUACAAUUUGUUCAUUCCUUUCUAUACCGUAUGCUAUGCUAAUCC
Molecule: long non-coding RNA, 309 nt
Filed under: Ananas comosus (pineapple)
Lineage: Eukaryota; Viridiplantae; Streptophyta; Magnoliopsida; Poales; Bromeliaceae
Description: long non-coding RNA (ACOM_LNC005356)
Source: RNAcentral